AGUCUCUCUCUCUCUCUCUCACACACACACAAACAAUCCCAGCUGGCUCUCCGGGUGAGCGUAGAAAGCGAAGAAUCAAAGCCCUGGCAUUGCCACUGCUUAAGCCUUGUCGUUUCCCCAUUGAUCGUAGUCUUUUUCCCCUCACGGGGGUUGUGGGCUUUUGGAUUCUACCCCCCCCCCCUCUGUCCUCCAUUCUCUCUUCCUCGCUCCCCCUCCUCUCUCGCUCGCACUCCCCUUCUCCAUCAAGACAUUCAAGCUUCCAGAAGACGUUGAGAAAUUUCACUCCGAGCCGAGGAGGAGGAGGAGGAAGAAGAAGAGGUGGUGGUGGCGGCGGCAGGAGCAACAGCAGCGGGGGUUUGCUCCACAGAGCCCAGCUUCUUGGAUGCUGGCUUUUCAGAGCCGGGAGGAUUAUUAUACAAGGCAGGAAUCGCCAAGGGGUCCCCGAAGCCCAAAGAUAAGACCGAAGGGAGCGUCCUUGAAUCUUCCCCGCUGAAAGCGGCCGCGCUUUGUGGAAGCCCCCAGAUUUCUGGAGAAAGACAAGCGAGGGGGGCUCGCACGGCACCAUGGCAUCGACGGAAGGUGCCAACAAUAUGCCAAAGCAGGUAGAAGUACGAAUGCAUGAAAGCCAUAUGAGUCCAGUGGAACAUCAACCGAAGAACCUCUGUGUACGACUCUGCCUUUCACUCAGAAAAAAUAUGCUCCUUUCACUUACUGUAUUUGGUGUCAUAAUGGGAGCCUUAUGUGGAAUGCUCCUUCGCAUGGCAGCUCCUAUUAAUCCUGAUGUCGUCAUGUUGAUAGCCUUCCCCGGGGAUAUUUUGAUGCGGAUGUUGAAAAUGUUGAUCCUCCCUUUAAUUAUCUCAAGUCUAAUCACAGGGCUGUCAGGACUAGAUGCUAAGGCCAGUGGUCGAUUAGGGACGAGAGCUAUGGUAUAUUAUAUGUCCACAACAAUUAUUGCUGCUAUCCUGGGAGUGAUCUUGGUGUUAGCCAUUCAUCCUGGCAAUCCAAAACUCAAGAAGCAGCUGGGAGAAGGAAAGAAGAAUGACGAAGUAUCCAGUCUUGAUGCUUUCUUGGACCUUAUUCGAAAUUUGUUCCCUGAAAAUCUUGUGCAAGCAUGUUUUCAACAGAUUCAAACAGUUACCAAAAAAGUCCUCAUGCCGCAAGAAAUGGAAGAACCAUCUAAUGUUACAGAUUCCAUCUUUACCAUCGUGAAUGAAACAGAAGUUACUCCAGAGCCUCAAUUAAUUGUUAAGAAGGGUCUUGAGUUUAAGGAUGGAAUGAAUGUCUUAGGCCUCAUCGGGUUUUUCAUUGCUUUUGGUAUCACAAUGGGCAAGAUGGGAGAACAAGCCAAGAUGAUGGUGGAUUUCUUCAAUAUCUUGAAUGAGAUCGUAAUGAAAUUAGUAAUUAUGAUAAUGUGGUAUUCUCCAUUGGGCAUUGCGUGCCUCAUUUGUGGAAAAAUCAUUGCAAUCAAGGAUUUGGAAGUAGUUGCUCGACAGCUUGGCAUGUACAUGGUAACCGUGAUUGUAGGUCUUCUCAUCCAUGGAGGCAUUUUUUUGCCUCUGUUGUAUUUUGUAAUUACGAGAAAAAAUCCCUUCUCAUUUUUUGCUGGGAUCUUUCAAGCAUGGAUCACUGCUCUAGGCACAGCUUCAAGUGCUGGUACCUUGCCUGUUACUUUUCGCUGCCUUGAAGAAAAUUUGGGCAUUGAUAAGCGUGUGACAAGGUUUGUCUUGCCUGUUGGAGCCACGAUUAAUAUGGAUGGAACUGCCCUUUAUGAAGCAGUGGCUGCCAUCUUCAUAGCACAGAUGAAUGGCAUUAUUUUGGAUGCCGGACAGAUAGUCACUGUCAGUUUGACAGCCACUCUUGCCAGUGUUGGAGCUGCAAGUAUACCUAGUGCGGGACUGGUGACCAUGCUUCUUAUCCUCACUGCAGUAGGACUUCCCACCCAGGAUAUAAGCUUACUUGUGGCGGUAGAUUGGCUCUUAGAUCGAAUGAGAACAUCUGUCAAUGUAGUAGGAGACUCGUUUGGAGCUGGCAUUGUUUAUCAUCUAUCCAAGGCAGAACUGGAAAACAUUGAUGCCCAUCACAAGAUACAUGAAGAUAUUGAAAUGACCAAGACUCAGUCAAUUUAUGAUGAUCUGAAAACUCACAGGGAAAACAACUCAAACCAAUGCGUUUACACAGCUCACAACUCUGUCAUAAUAGAUGAAUGCAAGGUACCUUUCACAUUUAUGGAUAUUGAGACUUGCAUCUAGCAAGUCACAGUACAAACUUUUUCUUAAAAAAUAAUAAAUUAUCUUUUUUUAAAAAAAAAUGUAAUAAUGAGACAACUGGCACCCAUUAAAAAUGUUCAAUAUGUGUAUAUUUGCUUUUAAUUUUGUUUAAUUUAUUGCCAUUUUGUUUAAACUGAAAGAUGCAUGUAAUGUUUGCAACCAAGAGCAUGUUUCACUAUGUGUUAUGGAAAGCAGCACCAUGCUGAAAGAAUAUGGCUUCAUUUUCUAUUUCAAUAUUCAUUUGAUUUUUAAAAAGCACUUUGAUUUAAUUGAUAUGAAAUAAUGAAUUUGUUGCAAAUUAUGAUUCCUUCCAAAAAAUAUUUGUUUUUCGGCUUCAAAAUUUAUUUAUUUGUAGAAUUUAUAAUUUAUAACCCAUCUUAACCCAAUGAAUCUGAGUACUUAACAAUACACAGCCAUAAAACAUCACAAAACAAAUUUUAAAAUACCAUACCAUACAUACAAUGCAAUAAACAACGGAAUUAACUGAAAAAAAUGAUUUAAGAAGUUGUAUGAUGAUUAAUGUGAAAGACAGUUAACUGUUGAGAAAUAAUGAGCCUCAAGCAAAAUGUAAAGCCAAUAUUAUUUUAGAUUAAUGCUUUCCAUAUUACACCAUACAGGCACAUGUGUUGGACUUCUUAUUAUGUGGAAACUCACUAAUCCAGGCAUGUUUGUUCUUGCUUUCAGAGUUAUUUUUGGUCAUCAUUACCAUGUCAAUUUUGUGGUUUAUGUUUGAUCCUGUCAGUAAUAACAUGAGUUAAAAGAAAGCUAUAACAAGAAUUAUCCUGACCAAGAUUGAACUGAGUUUCAAGAAACCAUAGGGUCUCAAAGAUUCUUGGAAUAAUUCUUAUAUCUUAUUUUAUUAAUCACAAUUUGAGAUGGCAAUUGAAUCUGGUAAAAUAUUAGAGAAUAUGAACUAAGUUUUGUUUGCAACAAGCUAGCUUUAAAACAUAGAUUCCAAACUGUCUUUUUCUCAAUCCCAAGUAAUUAGGAUUAGUUACUUAGGAUCAGAUGAAACAAUAAAUUGUGAGCAGUGAAAAAUGGAAGAGAAUGCUUCCAGUCACGGUGGGAAGAAAGAGGGAAGUCGGUGAAUAAAUUAGUAAUUUCCUUAGAUUGUUCAAAGCACAAUAAAGCAGAGUUGUCACUACUAACAACUCAAGGUUUGACUGGAGAACUGAAUUCAGUGUUUUCUUUAGAGGGUCUACAGCUUCAUCUUUAUAUAUUUAUGCUGAUAAUAGCUGAUUCUGUUAUUAAUAUCUUAUCAGCCAUAGAUGUCGACGACUAACCAAAAUGAUGUGAAAAUGGCAAAAUGUGCAUUAUGAAAUCACAAUGCAAACUAUGUACUGUCAUACUUGUACCCUAAUGGUAGAGACAACUAUUCUAUGUAACUCACAUAGUUUGAGUUGUGAUGACCCAAAGCAGAUUUUGCCUUUCCCCCCAUCCAAGCUGACAUAUAACCAUGGUUUUAAUUACAUAAUCAUUAAGUUUUUUUAUCCACAUGGGUUAGUUUUCAGUUUCAAAGCUGAGUUGGACGGAAUGGCCGCAGAAGGCUUUGUGUCAUAUUAAGUUUCUAAAACUUCAUCAUUUAAACACAAUAAAAAGAUGCUUCAAUCCAAAAACAUUUUCAAUCCAAAAAUUUAUUAUGAUCAGAAGAUUUUAUCCAUAUUAAUUUCCAUGACAGAAAAAUUAUGACAGCGCUAUUAUUUGGUUCUCAGUUUAAGCAGAAUUUUCUCAGGUAUAGGCAUUAAACUACUUCUUCUAUAAAAUAUUAUUAGUUAUGGAUAUAAAGGAACACUACUACAUCAAAAUUAAUCAGUUUUAACUUUCAGUCAUUCAGACAGUGGAGCACACAUUUAAGAUGUUCAUGUUGAAAUGAAUGGGAUACAAAUAUGAUAAAAUGUUUAACUGUAUCAUCAUAAAAGUUAGGAAAUAGGACUAAAAUGAGUGCGUGAAUUUGAAAAUUUGUAACAGGAUCCAAGUUUAUUAUUUGGUCAGCAGUUUUUGUUAUUGAUGCUUGACUUACUAAUACAAUUAUUUGUUGUCUUGGCUUUUUAAUAUUUAACUGGUUCCUAUUUUGGUAGUGCGGUAUGACUAAUAUAAGUUUAUUGACAAGCAAUAUUGGCUUAUGAGUUGCAUGACAGUUUUUUCCUUGUAUUUUAUUUAUUGUCACAUUUUAUAUUUCUUUCUGACCUUACCUACAAUUUCAACUUCAAAUAUGAAGUGAACUUUGUUUUUAAUGCAUGUAUUUCCCUCUUUGUAAUCAGAAGGAAGGGUUGCAACUGUUUCAAAUGUGAAUGCAUUCCUCAUGUUUUCAUGCUCAAUGCUUCUGUGCAUCUAAUUUGUCCAUCAUGUGGAAUAUUAAUCUUGUUUUGUAAGGUUCUUUUUUGAAGCUGAGGACCAGAACAUGGAAGGUAACCUUGGCAACCAAUGGCAAAUCUGCAGACUUCAAUGCUGUCGAAGAAGAACUUUGGAAACAUGAGAAAUAAGAUGGAAACCCUCCAGGUCCAUCUUGAAUAAGUCCCUGAAGUUGUCUUUUGGUAAAGCAGAUAUCAAGAUCCAAGAUUUUCCACUGUUUUUAUUUAGCAUAGAAAUGUGCUUACUUAAUGCUGUUAACUGAAACUUAGCAAUGGUCUUGUGAAGUCUUUGCUCUUUUGGUUUCUUGGCCAAAUAAUUCAUUUUAUUUUAUUAUUUGUUUGGAUGUAAGAGAAAUAUUUGGUUGGGUUUCCUCCUUCUGUUCAAAACAGAGAAAAUGUAGGCAUUUAAAGAAGAUUUUUAAAGGCACAAUAUAGCUGAUUUGCUUCAGGGACUAAAUAUUUAGCAUUAAGUAUAGUGUACAUCAUGCAGAAUCUCCCUCCUGCUGAAUAUGCGAAUCUGUAUCUUGGUGCAUACUGAAUACAGUGAGCAUGUAAUCUAAGACAUUAUUUCUUAAAUGCUUUUCAUGUGCUUUCCUUUGCAUAUGUUUUUUUCAGUUCCCUUUUCUUCGAGCUGUCUUAAAAUAAGUGAUCUACCUUAAAAAAAAAAAAAUCCAGUUCCGAACUCCAGUGAAUGCCAAUACAUUCAAAAUAACUAAGUAUUUUAAUGAUAAAUUCCUCAUCUCUCCAUUCUAGUUCUAUAAACAGUCAACCUUUUUGAGAUCAGAAGGCAGAAUACAGUUUUUACACAACUGAAUUGGAUACAUUUAUGAUUGUGGGUUCAUUUCCCUGUAAUCCCAGUGGAAUGUCCUUCCAGUAGGCAGAUUUGUGACACUGGAAUUAAAUAAAUGACAUGUUAGCACAGCUAACAAUCCACGCCAGGAAGUAUACAUACUGACCUGGGAAGAUAUUCAACAAUUAGCAGAAUCUUAAUAAAUCUAUAAAAGCAGAAAAUAGUCAUAUUUGUAUGGAUCCAGAAGCAUCAAGAAAUCAAGGAAUUCUAAUGCAGUAGUUUAUCAUACUAAAACUAACCCAGUGCCAAUUGCUCAGCAUAUACCCUUCUGCUCUCUCCAAUCAUAUCUUACUGCUUCUUCGUUGAGAUUUGAGAGUGCUUCUUUUUAGGGAAGAUAUCAUCUGCUAGUAAAUUCUCUUUUGUCAUUCCUUUUCCUAAGAAGAAAUAAGUUAUAUUUAGCAUGAGUCUAACAUCAGUUAGUUAUUUAAUCAGGGCUAAGAUAUUUUCCUGUAAGUACUAGAUAUCUUCCCACCCAAUCUGUUGAACCUUAAUUAUAUUAAGUAUAAUUAGUUUGGGCAAAUAUCAAUUCGCUUCUCUAGAAUAUUAAGUUUUAUUUGCUAUGGCAUUCAACGUGAUUAUUUCUUUGCCACAAUAUUGUAGAACGACAAAUACUGCAAAGUGAUGCCAAUCUAAUAUCUGAACGUCUUUUCAAGCUAGUGUUGUUCUCUUUAGAAAUAUGAAAAGAUCAGACAGAGCAAUGUUUCUUCUUUUUGUUCCAGUGUAUUAAAUAAUUGGCCCUGGUGAGAGCAGAGAUUUGGAUGUAACUCCCACAUCCACAUUCAUAUUUCUCUUUCUUUUACUUUUGGUAAACUCUGCAGGCAGUAUAAUUUAACUCAGAAAAACACAGGAUAUAAGGAAAUCACACCUCUCACAUCUCCUUUUCAAGUCAGGUCUGGCACAUCAUCUUUGCGUGCAUUAACAGGAAAAAAAGAGAACUCUUAAAUUUUACACAGAUGAGCACACUAUCCUUAUGAAGAAGAAGUGCAUUUGUGGCUAUCACAUGUUGGCGCCAUUUUUUUCAUGGGCAAUUCACACUGAAGCGCCUUUUAGGAUUUUCUUACUGUCCCUAAAAACCAAUAUGCUUGUGCUCAGUGUCACAUUAUAUUUUCCCUUCACUUUGAAGAAGCGAAGCACUGACCAUUAAUGGAAGCGUAGGUUCCUUUAUAUGGGGACAAUUUCUGAAAUGCUAAUUGAAAAUAAGUCAUGGGUUCCUUUCAAACCACACUGAGAAGGAAGCUCUCAAAUUAAAAUAAGAAGAAAUUGUAAUUUUUGCAAUUAGAGAUUUCUGAUAUUUACACAGGAAGGGGGAAAAAAGCCCUGUGUGGGAUUUGGGAAAACAUUUUUGGAUGUUUCAUAACUCAGGGAAUUUCUGGUUCUUAAAAACAAAGCCACAUUUUACUUACAAUCAGGGAUAUAAAUGGGGAGGGGUCAAAAAAGUCAAUUUGGCCUUGUAAUUAAAGCCCUACAUGUUUUUAUGUGCAUGGUUUACCAAAAAUAUAACAGGGAGAGGUGACCAUGCUCAGCAUUUGCUUCCUAAAUGAAUUCUAAUGCUCUGUAUUCUGCUGUGGUAACCAACAAAUUUAACCAUCCACAGUCUUUCCAUUUGACAGUACAAAACAGAACCUUAACAAUUAUCCCACCUUCUUUAUCCAGGGUAACUACUGUAGUUUCUGAAUUUCCAAAAAGAAAGAUGCAGAAGGAUUCUGCAAUGUUAGUUUAUAAGCCUUGCCCGUUUGUGUGAACAUGCUUUUCAUUUGCAAAUGCAAAAUAUAGUAACAAUUGCAUUCUAUAUUUUUUUUUAAUCAGUAGUCAAAGUUUUCCUCCAUAUUAAUGCCUCCAUUGUUGGUAACAUUCAUUAAUGAUUAAUAAUUAACUAUUAAUAUAAUACUUAAGCAUUUUUACAAUUUAAUCCCUGAUGUGCAAUAAUUUAUUUCUUGCCUGUGUAACCAAGACGUGUGAUAGCUACCUAGAGACUCAGCAAAAGAAACAAUUAGGAAUUUCAUCUGUAGGAAAACAAUUUUGCACCAGCACUUUGCACUUCAUUCAGAUCCAGUUUGUUAAUUUGCAUUAUAAACCCAGCCUUGCUUAUAAGCAAUUUCUUGAUUAGAUAGAAAGGGGUUUCUGAACAAGCAAAAUUCCAUUUAUUUGAUAUAGCAUUGGAAACCUGAGAAAUUCUGGCCACUUUGAAGAUAAAAUCUUCCCAUGGUCCCACUCUUGGUAUGGUUUGAUUCAUGGAGUUCAACAGAAUUUUCAUUUGUUUUCUCUGUGGUGCUAAUGCUCCCCACUUUUUAUAAACAGGCUUAAGUGUAUAUUCAUAAGACACCUGAAGUAAUUUACAGCAGUGCUAACAAAAAUAUAUAUAUAUAUAUAUUUGCGUACAUGAGAAAACAUUUGUUUUUAGCCCCCUUUUUUAUCAACAAAAUCUCUUUUUAGCAAGCUGAAUUGCCUUUUGUCUCACUUGUAGAUACUUGAUCAAAUCUCUAGAUACUCUUCAGCUUUUAAAAGUAUCUUUUAACAGUUAACAGGGGGAAUAUUUUUCACUUAUUUUUCACAUAUAUUUCUCUCAACAUUGCUCCAAAAGAUUAAUAUAAAAAUCUUUAUCAAACCCCAAAAAAACCUGGCUCUUGGGAUGUCAGGAAUUCUCUUUUACAUGCAUCCUCUUUACUUUUCAAAAUUUUAUCUCCUGCUUAGUGAGACUGAUUCUGUAAAGUCAGAGAAGAUGGACACUGCAACAUUGACAAAUCUGAAUUCAAACUAGUAAGAAUAUGUACCUUACAUCUAGGGUUGCAUUUUUUAUAUAUCUGUUGUUCCACCAAGCCUAAUGCUAAUUGGUGGUUAAUCUGUUCACAUAUUCACAUUCCUUUGAUUGUAUGUUUCUAAAUUGAGUUAAUAACUCCAUGAAAUUAUUCUUAAUCUGUAACAAGCUUUCAUACUUCGAUGCUCACAGAACUCUUCAUGAUAGGGAUUAUCCUACCGGUAUUACGUUUUAACUAAACAAAAUCAUACAUGCACUUGCUGUCUUUUUUACAGCAAUACUGAAGAAUUUGGCCCCAGAGACCCUAACAUUUGUUAACACUAACAGAAGAAAAUCUCAUACCAUAGAGUUUUACCCAAGAAAAUGUAGAAAAGGCAAUCACUGGUCAGAAUCAGAAUCAGAAUCAUUAGAAUCCUGAAGUUAUAUAUUAGAGAACUUGUAUGUUGUGGAUUUACAGAAUCCAGAUCUCUCUCAUUCUCUGAACAUUUAGGGUGGAAUAGAGAACCAAAUUAAAGAAAAAUGACCCAUGCCAGUACCCCAUUAACUAUGACGCCUGUAAAUGCCAUCCCAACAUCUAAAAAACAUGGCUUUUCCAUUUUUUAUUCCCUUUCCCCUCAUCCCCAAACAAUAGGAAAGUUUAUUACUGAACUCAUUUUUACCAACUUUAUCCACAUGUUUAAUAUUGCAAUUCACAGGCUGCUAGAGUAAUAUUUUAUUAAAAAUAAUUUUAAAAAUCAGAAGAACCGCAAUAUUUAGCUUUGUGGAAACUCCCAUCUUUUAAGAUGAGCUCUUUUGAAAAAAAGAAAGCUACUUGAAAUUAUAUUCAAUUUAUAGCACUGAUUGCCUCAAGCAAGGCCUAUAAAUCUUAUUUUAGAAUAUGCCAAUCUUUCACAUUAGAAAACAAUGUAACUUAAAUAUUUCUUCUGAAAAUUAUAUUUUAGUUUGCUAUAACUUUGACACCUUGUUUUCAGACCUAGUGGGGUGGGUUUAAUCACUGCUAUAGAUCUCAAUAUUCCAUUAUCUUUAUUUCAAAGCUGCUUCUUCAAUUUUCUGUUGACUACUUUAACAAAAUCUUCCUUUCUUCCUAAUGCAUGAAUGGUAAUUUAUGGAAUGCAUGAGGUGUAUUUCUACUUAUUCUAAUUUAGCCAUUUAUUCUUCUGCAACCAUGAUAUACACUGUAGAAUGAAUUAACUUAUUUCUGGCAUCUGUAAUUUACAGACAUUUGCAGAGGUUAUUUUCUUAUACCAGUUGCAGACAGUUAUUUUAUUAUACAACCAUAUAAGCAAGCAAGAAAAAAAUAAGCUAUAAUCCUUUUAAGGAAGAUUCUUUUGUAACGAACUCUGAUAAAUGAAAUUUGUGACUGGGUUCAUGCAACACAUUAAGCCAUUGUAUCAGUGGGUUGGUUUUGACCUAGCACAACAUACAAACUCAGCUCUUGUGGCUUGCAAACCAUGAUUUAUAGCUGAGCAUUAUAUAAAGCAGGCCACUACAGCUUGUUCCACAAACCAUGGUUAAAAUAAACUAUGACUUGUGUGACAUAUGAAACCAGCCACUGUUAUGUUAUGUUAAAUUAACAUAACUCUUUAAACUUUAUAACUUUAAGCAAAGCACAAAUGGAAGUUAAAGGUGUCUUUAUGCUACAGUUCAUUAUGGAACACUAUUACAGUAUUAAUAUAGAUUUGAGAUUGAGCCUUUUUUUUAUACUUAGCUUGUUUUUUUACCAGGAUAAUUCCAGAAUGUCUCUACCCUACAGAUAAAUAUUCUGAUUCAGAAUAUAUUUUGUUUUUAAUGUACUUACUUGCCAUUAUUUUCAAUGGAAUUAAUUUACAAAAUCCAUAUACUUUAGGAUUACAGUUUUUGAAGAAAAAAAAAACUAAUCUAUUUAUGCCCAGAGUCAGUAAGGCUCAAUUUGGUGUCCAAGAUUUGCAUCAAAUAGCAUUUCAUGAGUUUGGUAGGCCUUCCAUGGAAAUGAUGCAGACAGAAUGAAGUGUCUGCUUUUGUUUAUAUACCAAAUUCCCAGGUUACAUUUCUUCAGUAAUGUGACACACAUCUCAUCCCAUGCUGACAGAGAGAAAUGUUAUCUUCUCAAAAACAGUAUUAAGAUAUAGUAUUUGCCUAACAAUUGAAUGACAAAAGAUUACUGACACCAGGAAUUAUUUGUUUUAGCUACUAAUGAACUCUGUUGGUUCAAACUGUUCUAGAUUUUAGAUGCGUUUGGUUGAGAUAUACAAAGACAAAAAUGAAAGCUAUAUAAAUUCAAAAUGUGUAAGGAACUGCAGCAUUUGAUCUCACAUCUUUGCCUUUCUACAAAAGGACCAAACUACAUUCUUUAGGGGAUUAUGUCAACUGAAUAGCACAUAUAUAAAUACCUCCUGAUUUUUAAAACAUUUAUAAAAUAAAAAAGCAAGCAAUAUAUUUUUUCACCAUAAUGAUCGAAAUCUGUUUUUCUUCCUUUAUUAACAGUUAAUUACAAAAUACCUAUAUUGCUAAUGCCUUGUUAUUAUCCAAGCACAUUGAGAGAGCAAAUAAAUUUUUAAAACCCAAAUUAUAGUUUGAAUAUGAGUCAGACUCUGCCCCGUUUGGCAUACGGCUGCACAAAAUUGAAGAGGCAAAACCUACAGUAACAAUUGACUCUAUGAAACAGGUAUAUUUAACUUGUGCAACCUGUCAUGUAUGACCUCCAAAUGGAUAAAUAAACUGUACAGUAGGUAGGGGCAGUACAUUAUUGUGAUCUUAUUUUGUAAUACUCCUAUUUUAAAGCAGAGUUUUCAAAUAUUCUCGUAAUUAGAACUAAACACAAGUCGUAAAACGCUAGUAUUACCUAUCAAAGCAUGAUGCUCUUAUAAAGUUUUGAUGCGUUGUUUUCCGCAUGAAGAACAGUGCCUCCCCGCACUUUCUGUAGAUAAUGUAGUUUAUCUUGGUGUAAUUUCAGUGAAAUUGUGUAUACGGUAUUAAUAGUUGGUAUUUUAAUUUAAUUUAACUUCAACUCUGCUGGAAUAGAAAUUUAUAGUAAUAUGUUUGAAAAUAGAUUGGAUUAAGUUGGCUGGCUUUGGCUGCUAUAUUGGCAUUUCCAUUUCCAGAUGUUUAACAGCAAAAUUUCCAUAAUCUGCUACCCAUUGCUAUAUGGUGGUAUAAGCAGUAUAAUUGUGUUUAAAUAAUCGUUAUAACCCUUGUGUUCCAGCCAGGUUAUUGUAAAUAUGUUAGUACUUGUCUUUAUAUAUCUAAACAAGCAGCAUGCAUGUGAGUGUAUGUAUACCAAUCCCUGGCACUUAGUGAAUGUGAGUGACUGUCUGAUGUCGCACUGUGAUUGCAAUAGCACUGCUACUUUAAUGAGUAAAUAUAAGCACAGUAUUAUAUUGAGUUGAUUAUGUAUUUUUCUGUAUACAUGAUUGGAGAUAUAAAGAUAAUGUUAAUAAAUCGUUGCAACUAUCAACAUGUUGAUCCCUUGUAAAAAAAUAUAUCUUUUAUUUUGAAAGCUGUGUUUACCUUUUGAAACUGCAGUCUCAGCUUUUGCUUCUCAACCAGGACAUGGUGAUGGUCUAACCCCUCAAGAUUCCUCAAGUUUUCGUUUUUCACUUCUUCGCUGACCACAGUAACAAAUCCAAAAUUAAGGCAGUGUGAGAAAAGACAGACUUCUUUUUGAAGUGUAUUCUUUUACUUGUUCAUAUUCCAGUGUUAAUAGAUUAUGCGAAAAUAAAUGAUUGAGAUAAAAAUAUGGUAUAAAAUAUGCUAUCUUAGAGACUGUUAUUUGAAAAAAAGGAGUGUUUAUAUAAAGUUGAAAUCAGAUGAAGUCAAGAGAUUCAGGAAAAGGAGCAAAAGGUCCCCAAAUUUCAAUUAUGAACAUUUGGGGUGGACAAACACAUAAUUGAUCUCAUAUUAGUUAUAAAUCCCAGAACAAAGGUACUGCAAUGCAGUUGCAGUCAAGAUUCAUUUCAUGAAUCUUUACAUAUAAUACAAAAAAUUAAACAUAAUUUAUGAUAACCCUGAAUCAAAUUAAUUACUGCCUGUCUUAAAUUCUCUAGAGCAGUGUUCCUCAUCUCAGAAGCUUGAGAUGUAUGGACUUCAAUUUCUUGAAUUCCUGAUAAUGGUCACCAUGGCUGGGAGAUUAUGGGAGUUGAACGCCACAGAUCUUAAAGUUGCUAAGAUUGGCAAGCAAGACUGAAGAACUAGGUUAUAACUAUUCCUCUUUCUUAACAGAACAAGGAACAGUUUUCCAGUUGUAAACUGAAUCUAGUUAUUGCCCAAACAUAGUUAUAUUAUUUUGCUUCUGUAGGCCUUGAAUGCAUGGAUACCAUAUAAUUAUGCAUAGAAAGGGGAGAUCCACUCAAUUCCAAGCUCUGCAGAUAUAUUCAGCUAAGGAGAAUUAUUGUGGUUAUGGUCUCUUGAGAUCAUGGAUCUUGUGCACAGAUCUUAGACUGCAUUGUUGCUGGGUCACCCUACAUACAAAAGAAAGCACAAACUUGGCUUUGACUGUAAUUAAAAAUAUUCAUCUGAAAAAUGAAAUGGUGUAUUAUAUAAUAUCUAUGCCAUUUUGUGUAAAAUCUAAUACAUGGAAAUGCUAAAUCUUUCUAUUAAUGUUUACUUUUAUUUACUACAGUAGCAAUGACUUGUUUACUAAGCACUUUUCAUAGUUCUUAUCUCCUUUAUCUAUACCUUUAACAAUUCUUUUCUUUUCCUGUGUGAACUGAUUUCUGUAACUUGUAUAUAAAACAAAACUGGACAUUCUUUAUAUACUGGAAAUAAUCAGCAAAAACAAUAUUUCACUAAAUGUUGAAUUUUUUAUGUACAUAUCAUCAAUAAAUGUGAAUUCAUAAUUUUCAUGGAUAGAA
Non-coding RNA from Pantherophis guttatus, 13052 nucleotides. NCBI's taxonomy places the organism in Eukaryota, Metazoa, Chordata, Lepidosauria, Squamata, Colubridae. The record is from RefSeq and is a predicted model, not a curated record.